GUGGACUCUCAAGCGUGAGGUAAGGGCAAUUCGUGGAUGCCUUGGCAUGUACAGGCGAUGAAGGACGUGGCACGCUGCGAUAAGCGUCGGUGAGGUGUGAGCAACCUUUGACCCGACGAUUUCCGAAUGGGGAAACCCACCUAUCCGUUUAAUCAGCUGAGCCGCUGGGCGGCACGCUUCAUGCGUGUCGCCUCGGGGCGCAGGUGGUUAGGCGGACAAGGUAUCUUGAGACUGAAUACAUAGGUUUCGAGAAGCGAACCCGGCGAACUGAAACAUCUCAGUACCCGGAGGAAAAGACAUCAACCGAGAUUCCGUUAGUAGUGGCGAGCGAACGCGGACCAGGCCAGUGCCUGGAUUUCAACUAGCAGAACGCUCUGGAAAGAGCGGCCAUAGCGGGUGACAGCCCCGUAUGCGAAAGUGAUGAUCCAGGACUCGAGUAGGGCGGAACACGUGUAAUUCUGUCUGAACAUGGGGGGACCACCCUCCAAGCCUAAAUACUCGUACAUGACCGAUAGCGAACUAGUACCGUGAGGGAAAGGUGAAAAGCACCCCGAUGAGGGGAGUGAAACAGUACCUGAAACGGAUUGCCUACAAGCAGUUGGAGCCCUUUUAUGGGGUGACAGCGUACCUCUUGCAUAAUGGGUCUGUGACUUAAUCUGUCAAGCAAGCUUAAGCCGUUAGGUGUAGGCGCAGCGAAAGCGAGUCUGAAUAGGGCGAAUGAGUUUGACGGAUUAGACCCGAAACCCGGCGAUCUAGGCAUGACCAGGAUGAAGGUGGGGUAACACCCACUGGAGGUCCGAACCGAUUAACGUUGAAAAGUUACCGGAUGAGUUGUGUUUAGGGGUGAAAGGCCAAUCAAGCCGGGAAAUAGCUGGUUCUCCGCGAAAACUAUUGAGGUAGUGCCUCGGAUGGACACCUUAUGGGGUAGAGCACUGGAUGGUUGCGGGGGUCGCGAGAUCUACCAAUACUAACCAAACUCCGAAUACAUAAGAGUGAUAUCCGGGAGACAGACGGCGGGUGCUAAGGUCCGUCGUCAAAAGGGAAACAGCCCUGACCUACAGCUAAGGUCCCCAAGUCGUGUCUAAGUGGGAAAGCAUGUGGGAAUCCCAAAACAACCAGGAGGUUGGCUUAGAAGCAGCCAUCCUUUAAAGAAAGCGUAACAGCUCACUGGUCUAAACAAGGGUUCCUGCGGCGAAGAUGUAACGGGGCUCAAGACACGCACCGAAGCUUAGGGUGUGGAUUUAUAUCCACGCGGUAGCGGAGCGUUCCGUACGCCUGUGAAGCGAUCUGGUAAUGGGUCGUGGAGGUAUCGGAAGUGCGAAUGCAGACAUGAGUAGCGAUAAAGAGGGUGAGAUGCCCUCUCGCCGAAAGACCAAGGGUUCCUGCGCAAGGCUAAUCCGCGCAGGGUGAGCCGGCCCCUAAGACGAGCCCGAAGGGGGUAGUCGAUGGGAACCACGUUAAUAUUCGUGGGCCUGGUGGUGUGUGACGGAUGGCGUGUGUUGUCGGAUCUUAUCGGAUUGAUCCGGCUUCGAAGCUGUCCCGGGAAAUAGCCCCACCGUAUAGACCGUACCCGAAACCGACACAGGUGGUCAGGUAGAGUAUACCAAGGCGCUUGAGAGAAGUGUCCUGAAGGAACUCGGCAAAUUGCCUCCGUACCUUCGGAAGAAGGAGGCCCCAUGUAAGCGCAAGCUCUCAUGGGGGGCACAGGCCAGGGGGUAGCGACUGUUUAGCAAAAACACAGGGCUCUGCUAAGUCGGCUUCAAGACGACGUAUAGGGCCUGACGCCUGCCCGGUGCCUGAAGGUUAAGUGGAGGGGUGCAAGCUCUGAAAUGAAGCCCAGGUAAACGGCGGCCGUAACUAUAACGGUCCUAAGGUAGCGAAAUUCCUUGUCGGGUAAGUUCCG
Molecule: ribosomal RNA, 1903 nt
Filed under: Sphingomonas sp. Leaf62
Lineage: Bacteria; Pseudomonadati; Pseudomonadota; Alphaproteobacteria; Sphingomonadales; Sphingomonadaceae
Description: bacterial LSU rRNA
Rfam family: Bacterial large subunit ribosomal RNA
Source: RNAcentral